UAAAGAAAACAAACUUUUUAAUGACAUCAAAUUAAAGACAUGAGAAUGAAGACAAAAUGUUUAGGUCCAACAGCAGAACCUGACUCCUCAUAGAACAGUCAUUUUCAUCAGGGUGAGCUCUCAGGUCCACCUGGAUCUCUGUCUGUCACGUCUAUAAUGGCUUUAUGUUCCCCUUGGCUUUUUCAAUAAUAAUGUGCUUCAGUUCUUAUUUGGCAAAAGUCCAUCAAACACAAACACUAGGAAGAAAAAUAUGAAAAAAAAAAAGCUGGUCAGAGAAAGUAAAGGCUACCGUUUGAUCCAGUCUGAAGGUUUGAGUUGAGUUUCUGUUUGAAACAUCACAAAAACAACAAAAAAACCAUCAUGGACAGAACAUUGCUAUAAUCCUUAAAUUAUUCUAACAGUCUCAAAGAGAACCUUCUCCUUGUUCUGUGGAAUGUUCUGGACACUUUAACCCUCACAGUCUGAAGUUUAGUCAUUCAUGAAGAGCAGAAACAACUUCAUCAACAAAAACAACUGAGAUUUUCUAGGGAUGCCCUGACUGGUGGGAACCCUGAUCAACUAGUCUGCUGUAGAAGCAUGUUGUUGACUGAAUAAAGAUGGCCUCUGUGCUCCUUUUAUCAGGGUACACUGCCACCUGGUGGAGGUUGGAUGUAUUACAGAGCUCAGUAGAUGGACCAACAGCUAAUCCAGCUCAUACAGCUCAUAUAAAGGAUUCAGAUCUCCAUCACUUUUUCAGUUUUCCUCUAUUUCAUCCUGAUGCUACAGCUGAUAAUUUUUUUUUUUUUAAUUCUCAUUAAUCUCACUCAGGGCCCGCCAUGACGUCCUGAAUUUAAACGACUGAAGCACCAGGAUGAAACAAACCUGAAAACAGUGAAGGAGGUCUGAAUACUGAGUUUUAUAAAUAUGAUCAGUAUCAGCCAAUCAUGUAGCAGAAACACAUGAUCAGGGCAUCCCUAAAAAUUCACCCACAAAUGGAACACAAGUCCUAGAUUUAAGAAUAACAGGGACGUGUUCAGGAAUGAUAAGAGGACGAGUGGAAUAUAAAAUAUGAAACAAAAACAUAAGACCUGAAGCUACAUCAACUGUAGAAAUGUGUCUGGACUAAAUAUAAGACAAUAACACGGUGAGUAGGAGACAUCAAACAUCCAAUAAUACAUUCACCUUGUGCAAAAAUAUAUUGAAAUAAAGAUCUAGUAUGGCCCUGUUUCCCAUCAUUCAUUGCAUGUGUGCAAAAGCAGCAGAAAUACCUCUAUGGCACGUUAAUGAAAGCUUGAGGAGCAAUGACGGUGAAAUUCAGACAAAGCUUUAGAGAAACAGACAGGAAAUACUCAGCUUCAUCUUAGAGGGUUUAAAGUCAGCCGUUAACUACAGUAGACUUCUGAGGAGGGGUUGGCCUUCAGUGCAUUUAAUUAUCAUCAGAUAAACAUACAAAUCAUCAUCCUAUAAAGCCUAUGAAACAUUCCACCCUUGCCAUUAAAGACAAGGUCAUCCUAUAAAGCCUAUGAAACAUUCCACCCUUGACAUUAAAGACGAGGUCAUUCUAUAAAGCCUAUGAAACAUUCCACCCUUGACAUUAAAGACGAGGUCAUUCUAUAAAGCCUAUGAAACAUUCCAACCUUGACUUUAAAAGAUGAGGUCAUCCUAUAAAGUCUAUGAAACAUUCCACCCUUGCCAUUAAAGACGAGGUCAUCCUAUAAAGCCUAUGAAACAUUCCACCCUUGCCAUUAAAGACAAGGUCAUCCUAUAAAGCCUAUGAAACAUUCCACCCUUGACAUUAAAGACGAGUUCAUCCUAUAAAGCCUAUGAAACAUUCCAACCUUGACUUUAAAAGAUGAGGUCAUCCUAUAAAGUCUAUAAAACAUUCCAACCUUGACUUUUAAAGAUGAGGUCAUCCUAUAAAACCUAUGAAACAUUCCACGCUUGACAUUAAAGACGAGGUCAUCCUAUAAAACCUAUGAAACAUUCCAACCUUGACUUUAAAAGAUGAGGUCAUCCUCUAAAGUCUAUGAAACAUUCGACCCUUGACAUUAAAGACGAGGUCAUCCUAAAAAACCCAUAAAGCAUUCCAACCUUGACUUUAAAAGAUGAGGUCAUCCUAUAAAACCUAUGAAACAUUCCAACCUUGACUUUAAAAGAUGAGGUCAUCCUAUAAAGUCUAUGAAACAUUCCAACCUUGACUUUAAAAGAUGAGGUCAUC
Long non-coding RNA from Cheilinus undulatus (humphead wrasse), 2197 nucleotides. RefSeq lists it as uncharacterized. Lineage: Eukaryota; Metazoa; Chordata; Actinopteri; Labriformes; Labridae. The transcript is spliced from 2 exons. The record is from RefSeq and is a predicted model, not a curated record.